RNAcentral lists this ribosomal RNA (492 nucleotides) under uncultured bacterium. Its description in RNAcentral is "partial 16S ribosomal RNA". It matches the Rfam family "Bacterial small subunit ribosomal RNA", at positions 29 to 507 of the family's 1533-position model. The record is from RNAcentral.
AGUGAACGCUGGCGGUAGGCCUAACACAUGCAAGUCGAACGGCAGCACAGUAAGAGCUUGCUCUUACGGGUGGCGAGUGGCGGACGGGUGAGGAAUACAUCGGAAUCUACUUUUUUGUGGGGGAUAACGUAGGGAAACUUACGCUAAUACCGCAUACGACCUACGGGUGAAAGCAGGGGAUCUUCGGACCUUGCGCGAUUGAAUGGGCCGAUGUCGGAUUAGCUAGUUGGCGGGGUAAAGGCCCACCAAGGCGACGAUCCGUAGCUGGUCUGAGAGGAUGAUCAGCCACACUGGAACUGAGACACGGUCCAGACUCCUACGGGAGGCAGCAGUGGGGAAUAUUGGACAAUGGGCGCAAGCCUGAUCCAGCCAUACCGCGUGGGUGAAGAAGGCCUUCGGGUUGUAAAGCCCUUUUGUUGGGAAAGAAAAGCAGCAGGUUAAUACCCCGCUGUUCUGACGGUACCCAAAGAAUAAGCACCGGCUAACUUCGUG